AGUCGAACGAAGCACUUAAGAACGAUUCUUCGGAUGAAGUCUUUUGUGACUGAGUGGCGGACGGGUGAGUAACGCGUGGGUAACCUGCCUCACACAGGGGGAUAACAGUUGGAAACGACCGCUAAUACCGCAUAAGCCAACAGGGGCGCAUGCUCUGGUUGGAAAAGAUUUAUCGGUGUGAGAUGGACCCGCGUCUGAUUAGCCAGUUGGCAGGGUAACGGCCUACCAAAGCGACGAUCAGUAGCCGGCCUGAGAGGGUGAACGGCCACAUUGGGACUGAGACACGGCCCAAACUCCUACGGGAGGCAGCAGUGGGGAAUAUUGCACAAUGGGGGAAACCCUGAUGCAGCGACGCCGCGUGAGUGAAGAAGUAUUUCGGUAUGUAAAGCUCUAUCAGCAGGGAAGAAAAUGACGGUACCUGACUAAGAAGCCCCGGCUAACUACGUGCCAGCAGCCGCGGUAAUACGUAGGGGGCAAGCGUUAUCCGGAUUUACUGGGUGUAAAGGGAGCGUAGACGGUGAUGCAAGUCAGAAGUGAAAGCCCGGGGCUCAACUCCGGGACUGCUUUUGAAACUGUGUAACUGGAGUGCAGGAGAGGUAAGCGGAAUUCCUGGUGUAGCGGUGAAAUGCGUAGAUAUCAGGAGGAACACCAGUGGCGAAGGCGGCUUACUGGACUGUAACUGACGUUGAGGCUCGAAAGCGU
This 702-nucleotide ribosomal RNA is filed under the name uncultured bacterium. RNAcentral's name for it is "bacterial SSU rRNA". It matches the Rfam family "Bacterial small subunit ribosomal RNA", at positions 60 to 762 of the family's 1533-position model. The record is from RNAcentral.